Molecule: ribosomal RNA, 199 nt
Filed under: uncultured bacterium
Lineage: Bacteria
Description: partial 16S ribosomal RNA
Rfam family: Bacterial small subunit ribosomal RNA
Source: RNAcentral
UGAGCAAUCUGCCCUUCUCAUCGGAAUAACCAUUGGAAACGAUGGCUAAUGCCGAAUAUGACCUCGGAUCACAUGUUCUGAGGUGGAAAGCUCCGGCGGAGAAGGAUGAGCUCGCGGCCUAUCAGCUUGUUGGUGAGGUAAUGGCUCACCAAGGCAUUGACGGGUAGCCGGCCUGAGAGGGUGACCGGCCACACUGGGA